Long non-coding RNA from Pseudopipra pipra, 1503 nucleotides. RefSeq lists it as uncharacterized. The transcript has 3 exons. The record is from RefSeq and is a predicted model, not a curated record. Lineage: Eukaryota; Metazoa; Chordata; Aves; Passeriformes; Pipridae.
UGGUGGGACCUGCAUCUGUUCCCGCCCGCGGGAUGGGGUCCCCCGGCUUUGUACGGCCACGAUGGGGCCGGAGAGGCCAUUGUGCCCACGAGCAAACCUGGCCGGGGCGGGGGGACGGGGGACCGUGGGGACAUGAAAGCGUCGCGCACCGAAAUCGCUUGAACCCCCCCGAGUCGCACACCGGAGAUUUAUGUCGCUCUUUGGCAGCGCUACCUAAGGGGGGGGGUGCGGGUUCGCUUUGCUGUGCCCGGCGAUUGCCGGCGGAGGGGAACUCCCGUUUUUCCUCCGGGCGCACCCGCCGCACAUCCCGGGCUGGAGAUAACGGCUCGGCUGCGGGCGCGCCGAGAACACGGCCCGCUCCCACCCCGCCGGCAACAGGGGCCACUUCGGGAUUUGCCCAGGGAAGGGCUGGAGAGCAGCUGGCUGCGGUAAUCUCUUCGGGAGACAAAGGAAUGCCCCGUCCCAGGAUCACAGGAAGGGAAUGCUAGUGGACCAAGUUUCUAUCUCGCGCAGAUUAAAAGAUCCGCGGUGAUAUAUCACUUCUCGCCUCCACCGAUGGGCCACCCCCAAAUUUCAACACAGAUUCUGCCGCUCUCUUCUCCCCGCCCCACUCGCUUAGUAAACUAGAUAUGAAGUGAUGUUUUUCUCCUGUCUCUCUUCCUUUCCCGGCGCUAACGCCACAGCAAAGUUUGCGAAGCAGCGCAGGCCACUUGAAAAGAUGUUGACGCUAGGUGGCAAAAGUAAUGUGCAGUGAAAACCGGCGCUGCUGCGGGAUGCGCCUCCCCGCUUCCCGCUGCCGAGGCUGGGCACCGUGGGGGCGGACGGCCGGGGCUCCGCUCCCUCCUGGGCCUCCCUCCGUACAUCCCUACAUCUGCGCGGUGCCUGCGGGAUGGCUGCUCCCCUCUCUGCCCAGAUACAACUCCCGGAUAAAAAAACCCAAUAAACUCAAACAUUCCUGUACAUUUAAACUUUCGCUUAUGCUUCGACUGGAGGGGAGGAAAAGAGCACCUGGAUGUGGAUGGCUCGUUCGACCACAAUUAGAUAUAAAAGACACGUGUUGAGUGGUGAAAUGUUGCAAAUAUCUGGAUGCUUGUUUAAGUGCCGGGGGUACCUGUCUGGGUUUGGGGUAGGUGCCACAAACCCCCACUAAAUGAACGUGGGCAGCUACAGUCCUGGAACAGUUGAGAAGAGCUGAGCUGAAUGAACUCAUUAGUGAUUUUCUUUUAAUUGGUAUUGCUCAAUGCUUUUACUUUCAGAAGUCUUUAAGAUUUUUUUUUUCUAGCGCAUUGUAAGAUAAUUUGUGAUCAAGACAUCUGCUUCAAUGAAAGUCACAUUUUGCCAUGCAAAUGCACGUUUCAACCCAAUAAAGUCACCAUAAUAAGGCUUUUAGCAUGGCAUACCUACAGUGAGGUUAUUGUAGCCAAACCCUUUCCUUUCGCAUACAAGCUUAAUCUGUGCUGAAAUGAUCUGUUACAAUUAAAAUGACAUUUACAGAGACAGUUA